Catharus ustulatus (Swainson's thrush) is the source of this 3398-nucleotide long non-coding RNA. The record is from Ensembl. Lineage: Eukaryota; Metazoa; Chordata; Aves; Passeriformes; Turdidae.
CAAAUAUUUAUGUCAUGAUUUGCCUGGAAGUGUUCUUGCUCUCUGUUCAGGAAAAGAUUUAGUGGAUUUUUUGUCCAACUGAGUCCCCAGGUCAGCAAUGAUGUGACCCACAAAAUCCUUUCACCUUUGCAAACUACAGUCAGCCCAACACAGGUUUUGUCCUGACCUAAAAUGCUGAAAUUUUGGGUAUUUCCUGACUCUGGCCAGCACAAUGAUGAACGUUGUGUAUUGCAAUGGAAAAGUGUCUAGUAGUGGUUACAGCUUCACAGUCAUCAUCUUAUUUGCAGUCCCUGUUAUAGGAAAACAAAAAAUCCUGGAAAGAAGUGGUGAUGAUUAAUCAUUCAUUCCCUCGAAGUAAAGUUGGAGAUGUGCUGUCCCCGAGAUUAAUUAAGCAUAAUUCACAUAUUUCUACAUAUUGAAAAGGACAGCUGUACUUUUAUGAGGCAUGGGUUAGAGUUCUUGUUCCAAGUAAAAAUGUGUAAACAUUUAUAUUUCAGAUUUAUGGACACAUUUUUAUUUUCAUAUUUUAUAUUGUAUAUUUUUCUGUAAGUAUAAUGACCUUCAGAGCUGGAGUGGAAAUCUAUUUAGCCUUAUGCUUAAUCCAGUCUUUCUUACAGGAUUUCAUAAGGAUGUGUUGGGAGCAGGGAAGCUGCAAGAAGAAAAUUUGUCCCUGUCAAAGUUUGGAGCAGGAAGGAAACAUGCAAGGUAUUCUAGUGGAGUCCAAAGGAGUUUUUUUCUCUACAAUGUGUUUGAUAUGUCAACAGAAAUUCCUCACCAAACAUCAGACCAAGGGAGCAGCUUUUCAUCACCUCAAACUUCUGUGGUAAAAUAACACAUGUGAUAUCAAAAAUAAUAUCAUAAUAAAUCUUGAAUAGGUAUCUAACACCCAAAUGCAUGUCAGAAGCUCUUUGCUGUUGUAUAUCUGUGGGAGGCUCCACCAGCUAUGCCUUGUACAUAGGGAAUGCAAAAAAAAGUCUGUGGUUACCCUUUCAUUUGUGCCCUCAGAAGAUAAGCAUCCAUAAAAAGCUCUUUGAUCCUCUGGAUUUAGAUAACAAUGUUGUAAUUAAUUAAUGAAUGGCUAUUUUUACAAUAUAAUUGACUUAUGUCCCCUUACCAGAGUCAGCUGAACACCAGUAUUUGCCAGCAGUCAAAAAUUAAUUUUGCAAAACGUUAGAAAGAUAUUCAGGUUUAUGUUGAAGGAUACUAAAAUUGUAUCUGUUUAUGGCUACAAAAUUCUUCUGUACUAUUUUUUUUUCAAACUGACUUAAUGUUAAUGUAGAGCUGAAUCUCCAGAAUUUUUCAAUAAACAUUUCAGAAUGUCAAAGAUAUUUGAAGUGAUGUCAUGGAACAACUUGACAUUUCUUAGCUCUAUAUGGAUUAAAACUGAGAUUAAUGUAAGGGAUGAAUCAAUAUGGACCAAACCAUUAAGUGUGCCUUAUAAAAAUUAAUCUGCUGAAAUUGAAAAUACACAUUUAAAGUCCUACUAGCUUAAAUUUUGCCUAAUGACAAUUCUAGCUGCUUCCAGAAAGGGAUAGUUAGUAGAUGAAAUCAGAAUUGAGUUUCAGAAUGUUGCAAUUGGAACCAAAAACACUGAGGAAAGGGAUUUGUGUGAAACAAGCCACUAAAAGAACCAAGGCACUGCAUAUCCCAACUCUUUAAAUUAUUAAGUAUUACAAAGGUGAGAAGUUAAUUAAUUAGACUCUCAAAAGAAACAAUAUAAUCUCACCAAACUCUUCACUCUGACAAUACUCCCACUGCACUAUCUUGUAAGAUAUUUCUUUUCAAGAGAAUAGUCAGCACUUAGACAAAAGUUUCUUUUAAAAAUAAAACUGAAAUCAACAAACUAAGGAUUUCAGGGCCAUGGAAAGUUAAAUAAAGCCUGAAGAGUUUACAAAUAUUAGCAGCAGUUAUUGUUUAAGAUAGUGGGAAAGGUUAAGGAAAACUAUAUGGAUGACAAAGAUAAAACCUUGCAUAAUUAAGAAACAAUUUGCAUAACCUGGUAACUAUUGAGAUCUGAUUUCUCUCUCGGUUUAUUUGGGUUUGUUUUUUCCCAGGUAUGACCUUGUUUUCGCCCCAAAAAAGCAAUUAUUGGAAUAAGUACUAGUGCAUGAGAAUGCUAACAGGACAGGUAAUGUUUGGUGGAGUAAAUAAUGGUUUCAUUUUGAGAAUCAUGACAGAUUUUAACUAAAUUCUAGAGUUACUCAAAUGUAUAUAAAAUGCUUUUUUAUAUAAACUUAACAUAUCCAAAUGAGGAAAAAUCUUAAAGCAAUUUGAUUGUUGUAUGCCUACUGUACUGAGAAGAACCUACAAGGUAUUAUUUGGAACCAAAGCAGGAGGGGUUUUUUUUGCACUCUUUUGGAGUCAGGAGUUUUGUAUUUUUACUCUUUAAAUAUAUGAUAUUUAUAGAAGUCCUCAAAUCCUUCUGGGUCACCCCAUGUUGAUCUGAGUCACAAGCAUCAGUGCAAACAAUAGUUUAUCCAAAAUUUAUAUUACUUCAAACUAGCACCAUUGAUCCUGACCCUAGGAGAGGCAGAAUUGGGACUAAAACUGACAAAGAAAUGGCAAUCUGGGCAAAACCUCUGGUGACCUGUGAAUGCAUAAGAUUUCCAGGUCAUUCUCUGUCUGUCAGAGCAAUAUAGAAACAUAGCUAUGGUUACAUAAUUGUUAUAGUGGUCACCUUAGGGUCUCUUUUAGAUAAAACUGAUGCAAGCUUUGCAGAUACAUUUCCUGAUUAAACACACAUAAAGUCUCUUGAAGUUCGGGAUUUCAAAAAAAUCUUUAACAUUUUAGGUUUUCAUUACUAGAAUUGUUGAUAUCAUUUCAAGGUAAGGUAAUAAUGUAAUUUGUUCAUGUAAAGUCAAUAUAAUCUCAUUAUAACAUUGCUGUUGAUUUUACCUAACGUUUAUAAAUCACAUCAUAAUGGAAAUUAAGUCAUAACUAUAGAACUUUAAAAAAGAAUCAAUAUCUCCUUUUUGUUAUUAAUUAUUUUCAAGGAAAAGAAAAUUUUCUCUAGACUUAUUUAAAAAAUCUUUUUUUUUUCUCUCAUUUAAUGUUGCUGCUGCCUUUGAAUCAUUAAGACAAUUUCCUUGCGGGCCACCAUUCUCUGCUAAGUUCCAUCAGGCUGUAAAAUCCUGUAAACUAAGAGUGUGGUAGAAAUUUUUUUUGUUCUGUUGCUGUUCUCAAAAAAUAAAAAUAAAUAAAUUUCAAAGGUUUAAAAUUACCACCUCUUCUACAAAACAUAAGUACAGAUGUUUUGAAAGUUUCCAAGAGUGACAUGACAAGCACUUGGGUUUGCUUAUUGUUUUUCCAUAUUCUGUAUCAAUGUCUAUGUGCAUAAUUUUAUACAUGCACUCUCUGCUUGUUUCCUGUUGAAUUGAAUUAUAUGAAAUAAACAUUGG